Molecule: long non-coding RNA, 214 nt
Filed under: Phoenix dactylifera (date palm)
Lineage: Eukaryota; Viridiplantae; Streptophyta; Magnoliopsida; Arecales; Arecaceae
Description: long non-coding RNA (PDAC_LNC006449)
Source: RNAcentral
ACUCUGAACCCACUCGAUCACCAUGGCUGAGUCCCCCUCGAGGAGAAUGCAAUCCGCACCCAAAACACACCUCGCAUAGGUGAUGCCCUUCCAUACGGCUAUGAGCUCAACAAUGACGGCAGACGUAUCAAAGAUCUGCCGAUCCCCAGCUGCCACCAGUCUGGUGUUAUGGUCUUUGAUACAAAUCCCACACCUCCACUACUCUCUCCCUCGC